RNAcentral lists this ribosomal RNA (426 nucleotides) under uncultured bacterium. Its description in RNAcentral is "bacterial SSU rRNA". It matches the Rfam family "Bacterial small subunit ribosomal RNA", at positions 354 to 796 of the family's 1533-position model. The record is from RNAcentral.
GUGAGGAAUUUUCCGCAAUGGGCGAAAGCCUGACGGAGCAAUGCCGCGUGAAGGAUGAAGGCCUAUGGGUUGUAAACUUCUUUUCUCAGAAAAGAAUUAUGACGGUAUCUGAGGAAUAAGCAUCGGCUAACUCUGUGCCAGCAGCCGCGGUAAGACAGAGGAUGCAAGCGUUAUCCGGAAUGAUUGGGCGUAAAGCGUCUGUAGGUUGUUUAAAAAGUAUUCUGUCAAAGAUUAGGGCUUAACCCUAGAUAGGCAGAAUAAACUUUUAAGCUAGAGUGUGGUAGAGGCGGAGGGAAUUCCCGGUGGAGCGGUGAAAUGCGUAGAUAUCGGGAGGAACACCAAAGGCGAAGGCACUCUGCUGGGCCAAUACUAACACUGAGAGACGAAAGCGAGGGGAGCAAAUGGGAUUAGAAACCCGGGUAGUCC